This 253-nucleotide ribosomal RNA is filed under the name uncultured bacterium. Its description in RNAcentral is "partial 16S ribosomal RNA". It matches the Rfam family "Bacterial small subunit ribosomal RNA", at positions 524 to 776 of the family's 1533-position model. The record is from RNAcentral.
UACGUAGGGCGCAAGCGUUGUCCGGAAUUAUUGGGCGUAAAGAGCUCGUAGGCGGUUUGUCGCGUCUGUCGUGAAAGCUUGGGGCUUAACCCCAAGUCUGCGGUGGAUACGGGCAGACUAGAGGCAGGUAGGGGAGAACGGAAUUCCCGGUGUAGCGGUGAAAUGCGCAGAUAUCGGGAGGAACACCGAUGGCGAAGGCAGGUCUCUGGGCUGUAACUGACGCUGAGGAGCGAAAGCAUGGGGAGCGAACAGG